UACGUAGGGGGCUAGCGUUGUCCGGAUUCAUUGGGCGUAAAGAGCGUGUAGGCGGCCAGGUAGGUCGGUUGUGAAAACUGGAGGCUCAACCUUCAGAGGUCGACCGAAACCAUCUGGCUAGAGUCCGGGAGAGGAGAGUGGAAUUCCUGGUGUAGCGGUGAAAUGCGCAGAUAUCAGGAAGAACACCCGUGGCGAAAGCGGCUCUCUGGAACGGUACUGACGCUGAGACGCGAAAGCGUGGGGAGCGAACAGG
Molecule: ribosomal RNA, 253 nt
Filed under: uncultured bacterium
Lineage: Bacteria
Description: partial 16S ribosomal RNA
Rfam family: Bacterial small subunit ribosomal RNA
Source: RNAcentral